AGUGAACGCUGGCGGUAGGCCUAACACAUGCAAGUCGAACGGCAGCACAGUAAGAGCUUGCUCUUACGGGUGGCGAGUGGCGGACGGGUGAGGAAUACAUCGGAAUCUACUUUUUCGUGGGGGAUAACGUAGGGAAACUUACGCUAAUACCGCAUACGACCUACGGGUGAAAGCAGGGGAUCUUCGGACCUUGCGCGAUUGAAUGAGCCGAUGUCGGAUUAGCUAGUUGGCGGGGUAAAGGCCCACCAAGGUGACGAUCCGUAGCUGGUCUGAGAGGAUGAUCAGCCACACUGGAACUGAGACACGGUCCAGACUCCUACGGGAGGCAGCAGUGGGGAAUAUUGGACAAUGGGCGCAAGCCUGAUCCAGCCAUGCCGCGUGGGUGAAGAAGGCCUUCGGGUUGUAAAGCCCUUUUGUUGGGAAAGAAAAGCAGCAGGUUAAUACCCCGCUGUUCUGACGGUACCCAAAGAAUAAGCACCGGCUAACUUCGUG
This 492-nucleotide ribosomal RNA is filed under the name uncultured bacterium. RNAcentral describes it as "partial 16S ribosomal RNA". It matches the Rfam family "Bacterial small subunit ribosomal RNA", at positions 29 to 507 of the family's 1533-position model. The record is from RNAcentral.